Oncorhynchus keta (chum salmon) is the source of this 4679-nucleotide long non-coding RNA. RefSeq lists it as uncharacterized. The record is from RefSeq and is a predicted model, not a curated record. The transcript is spliced from 5 exons. NCBI's taxonomy places the organism in Eukaryota, Metazoa, Chordata, Actinopteri, Salmoniformes, Salmonidae.
GGCUUUUGAGGAAAGUGUAGUGUAACUCCAAAGCCAAGAUAAGACGCCAACGUGUAAUUUAAAUUCUGAAAAACAAUAGACUAAAUUUUCCAUUGUGAGGCAUAUGAACAUUGAGAGACGCUCUAAAUCGCUUCUUUAAAAAAAAAUCCGAGAUAGGCCUACACACCGUAUAAUUGCCGAACUCAAAAUGAUGGAUAAUGCCAGUCGCUGGGUUUUCGCCCACUCACCGCCCGUGCACCCCAGCGCAGCGUCCCUGCUCCUGCAGUUCGCGUGAGAAAGCGGAGCUCCGGUAUGGAGGGGUGGGCUUGCUCUUCCGGACAAUCCUAAAUCUGCUUGGUCAGUCAAUUGAAGGCAGCAGCCCCUGGAAAGACAAGUGUCUUAAACGCUGCAGAACAAAGAUCGAAGGACGUGAUACUUUUUCUUGGUCACGGAGGUGCACAUAUUCGCGCGCUACAGCUUCUGUAAAUGCGAGGAUCUUGGCCUUUGGAGUCAUGCGAUCUACCACUCAGGCUUCACGCAGCCCACAGCAAAUUGAAAUUCCCUUGAAGAAUCUCCCUUUCUGAGUAAUGACUGUAAAGGCAGCUGAAGUCUUCAGUUCUUUGGCACGCAACAACCAAACACCUGUCACACACCUUCAAACCAGGUGCUGCAGCUUUCCUCUACGGUUCCUCGAACACCAGCUCUGAGGAUGUGGCCCCAAGAUCCAAAGUUUUCUCAUAACCGCUGGGGUUUGUGGUCCUUCGCCCGACUUACUCCGUUUAACUUUUUGUGAACAAACAAGGUAUAACAGCACGCAAUAUGUUUCUAGCUUCAGCUUUAGAAUUCAUUGAACUUAAAUGUACCAUUGUAACCCAUGUAAUUGUGACACCCACACAUCAUGACAUCACAUUUUAUUUUCCACAUUUAGCCUUUGUAGGAGGUGCAAUGUGGGAGAUGUGUGUGUGAGGAUGAAAGAGGGAAAUGAACUGAAAAGGUCAAUAUCUUCUUUACGUGAGGAGGCCUGGUCUCUCAGGCACUACCCACCAUAUGUAGUGCUGAAAGUCAUUGUGUGCCAAGGCUUUAUCUUUUAAUCAGUUGUGUUCACCACCAGUUAAUCAUUUGUACAUGCCAAGACUCAGACACAUUGGAUUCAUUACACGCAGAGGGAAAAUAGAAGCUUGAUGACCUGAUAGGUGCUAAUGCUGUGUGUGAUUACUACAAAACUACACAGGUCUGGACAAUCAUGUGGUUUACUUGGGAAGGGUGUUCUUUGACAAUAUUCCUGAUCUCAACUGAUCACGUGCAUGUUGGGUUGACACUAUUUCUUUCUGUGUAUGCUCAGAAUUCGUUUUUUAAAAAUUAAUUGUGUGGGAGAAAAAAAGAUUGGGAGAGAGACAGAGAGACAGAGAGAGAGAUAAAGACAGAGAGAGUGUGUGAGAGAGAGUGAUGUUGACUGCAGUGUAGUCGCUGUCCUGCCUGUGCUGUAUGAAGGAGAAGCUAUAAUCCGGUGGCCUGUGAGCCUCUACCGCCCCACACAGCAGGACAUUGUGACAAGGAACCACCAAGGAGACACAGCACCGCAGGUCACGACCUCUGAGGGCUCCAUGCCACAAGGACAAUGGUACACAUGGCAAUGGAGCAAUACCCAGCCUUUACUGAGUGUUUGUGUGUGUGUGUUCCUGUGUGUGUUUAUGUAUGGUACUUGAUGUAGGUAUGUGUAUGCGUGUGAGAGGGAGGGAGUGACAGUCAGAAAGUGAUAAACAUAUAGACUCUCCCUGUUUUGGUGUGCUUGUGUAUGCCCAUGGGUGUUACCUGUCCUGAAUAAACAACCAUCCCCGCAGGGCCCUGGUGUUCCCCAUCCACCCACCCCACCUCAGCUCAGCUCUCUGACUCAGGGGCUACAAGGCAAGCAUCCCAAACAGAAAAACAACCUCCACCUCCUCCUCCAGUAGCUUAUACAGUAACAUAUACGGGGAGGCAACGUUAUGUUUGUCUGUCUAACUAACUGCUUGGCACCAUCCCCUCACUUUACCCCCUGCAGGCCUCCUGCUCCUGAGAGGAGAUGAAUACACUCAAUCAAACCAGUGCUCUCUGUCCUGGCCGUGUAUUAACCCGCUGAAGAAUGGCAGCAAAUCAGUAGUUUGAUUAUGUAAAGUAAAACCACAGGAGGUGCAUGCAUGGUACAUAGGCACGUAGUAGUGUUAAAUCCUGCUUAAAUCCUGCAUGCAGGACAAGAUGGUACAGGAGAUACGGGCAGGAAAUAUCAGAGUGGCAUGCACAGACAUACCCCUCUGUUCUCAGUGUUCUCUGCUUGUUUUCGCUUUCAUCAGAUUUUAUGAGGUUUGCCAGAUUGGAGUAAAAAGCUGAUUUGGCUGUUUUUUGUGGUAUUGAUGAAGGUAUUUGUUUGGGGAAUGGGGAUACAUUUACAUGAUGGGAAAUUAAUUAAUUGAUACAUGUGGGGAAACAGAAGACCUGUUUGGUUUAAAUUCCCCUGGUGCAACUGCAUGGUAUUUGCAACUAUAAUGAGUCUGGACUAUGAUCAAUUAACCAUAUUAAUGCAGUUAAACAGGUUAAUGUAAAAUAAUGAAUUAUGUUGCCUUACACAUAUGGCACUUCCAAGGACGUUUCAUGAUGAUUAUUACGGUCGUGUCAAUCAUGUUAUAUACUUAGGCUAUUGUAACACACCAUAUGCCAGCAUUGUAGGCCUACUGCCUCUGCCCAGAGGCCUACUUUCAUGGCAACGGCUGUUGCUAACUUUGCCACGUAUGAGUGCUGGUUAGAGCCUGUUGCAGAUUUCACUCUCUUCCGCUGUGUUGGUGGCAGCAUUGGGAUCACAUCCAGCUCUCAUCUAGUUAUGUUAUGUGGGAAGCAUUCUGUUUUUCAACAUUGUGUUGGGUGUAAUUACAUUGAUAUAUCUUGUGAACAAUGAAUAAGCAGCAAUGGGUGUGACAGAGAAGUAGUCACUACAGGUGUGAUCAAACCUUACAUCAAAAUUGCCUGAAGCGGAAAGGAAAAUGCUAUGUCCUGACCAGUUAUUCAGGAGAAAAUCCUCUGUGACUGUCUAAUUUACCAGUGUGGACCCAAAACAAACACAUUCUACACAUUUACAAAGGAGCUGUUUAAAGUGUUGUUACAACCAUGGUGUUCUGUUGUUACUGAAGCAUAUACAUCUAAUAACCUGACAAUGAUCCACAUCAUAUGGGGAGACAAAUAAUGUAAGUGUGUUGUCCUUUUAGGAUGCAAAUCAAUAAUAUGAAUCACUGUUGGUCCAUCCUGUUCUGAUCUAAUGAGAUGGAUGUAGGAUUUUCAAGGCUUAGAAUCGAGACCUUUUCCAGUCAUGAAGAAAAAAGCUAGGCACCUCUUGGUUCUCAUUGGUGAAGACUGAAGUCAAGUUAGGACAGUGGUGGAAAAAGUACCCAUUUGUCAUACUUGAGUAAAAGUAAAGAUACCUUAAUAGAAAAUGACUCAAGUAAAAGUGAAAGUCACCCAGUAAAAUACUACUUGAGUAAAAGUCUAAAAGUAUUUGGUUUUAAAUAUACCUAAGUAUCAAAAGUAAAUGCAAUUGCUAAAAUAUACUUGAGUAAAAGUAUAAAUGAUUUCAAAUUCCUUAUAUUAAUGUAACGUCUGCUUCCAAUUCACACUCAAACACGUAGAUCCCCUGAACACAGCUCACUCUCCAGAUCCCAAUCACCUGAAUUCUGAUCACCUGUUCACACACCUGUAUGUCAUUAUCACACACUAUUUAGUUCAGUUCUUUGCACCCCAUCAUUGUGAGGUAUUGUCAUGUUCUGACCUUUAUUUCCUUUGUUUUGUCAUUAUUUAGUAUGGUCAGGGCGUGAGUUGGGUGGGCAGUCUAUGUUUGUUUUUCUAUGAUUUGGGUAUUUCUAUGUUUCGGCCUAGUAUGGUUCUCAAUCAGAGGCAGGUGUCAUUAGUUGGCUCUGAUUGAGAAUCAUACUUAGGUAGCCUGGGUUUCACUGUGUGUUUGUGGGUGAUUGUUCCUGUCUCUGUGUUUCGCACCAGAUAGGGCUGUUUUUGGUUUUCCACAUUUAUUGUUUUGUAGUGUUCAUGUUUAUCUGUUUUUAUUAAACAUGAAUCAAUAUAACCACACUGCGUUUUGGUCCUCCUCUACUUCACCACAGGGAAACCCUUACAGGUAUUGUUUGUUUUGUGACACACUUCUAUUCAGAGAUCUGUUUUUCCCAUAAUUUAAUCCUCCCGUGUAUGAUAGUGAGGCAGGCAAAAACUAACAAUGCCUUUUGCCUAUUCCCUGCUUGUACUUCAGCCCAUCGGAUUACCUGUUAUGUAUUUCCUGAUCACCCGGACGAUGUUACUAGCCUUUUCCCUGCCUGUACUGUUGCCUUUUUGGACCUCCUGCCUGCCCCUGGACCCAGCUACCUGUCUCCUCCUGUGGUCCAUUACAAAUGAACACCUACUGCACCCUGUGCUUGAAACCACCUCUGUCUCCCAUCGUGUUCAUUACAAUUAAGCUAACCAGACGGCACAAUUUUUUUAUCUCCUGUCUUGCUAAGCAUUCAAAAUGUAAGGAGUGUCAGAGAAAAUAUAUGGAGUAAAAAGUACAUCAUUUUCUUUAGGAAUGUAGUAAAGUCAAAAAUAUAAAUAGGAAAGUACAGAUACCCCAAAAAAAACAACUUAAGUAGCACUUUAAAGUAUUUUUACUUAACUGAGAUAUGCGUUUUGUC